UACAGAGGGUGCGAGCGUUGUUCGGAAUUAUUGGGCGUAAAGGGCGCGUAGGCGGUGCGGUAAGUCACCUGUGAAAUCUCCUGGCUCAACUGGGAGCUUGCAGGCGAAACUGCCGUGCUGGAGUGUGGGAGAGGUGCGUGGAAUUCCUGGUGUAGCGGUGAAAUGCGUAGAUAUCAGGAGGAACACCUGUGGCGAAAGCGGCGCACUGGACCACAACUGACGCUGAGGCGACGAAAGCUAGGGGAGCAAACAGG
Molecule: ribosomal RNA, 254 nt
Filed under: uncultured bacterium
Lineage: Bacteria
Description: partial 16S ribosomal RNA
Rfam family: Bacterial small subunit ribosomal RNA
Source: RNAcentral